This 253-nucleotide ribosomal RNA is filed under the name uncultured bacterium. RNAcentral's name for it is "partial 16S ribosomal RNA". It matches the Rfam family "Bacterial small subunit ribosomal RNA", at positions 524 to 776 of the family's 1533-position model. The record is from RNAcentral.
UACGGGGGGAGCAAGCGUUGUUCGGAUUUACUGGGCGUAAAGGGCGCGUAGGCGGGUCUGCAAGUCAGGGGUGAAAUCCUCCGGCUCAACCGGAGAAGUGCUUUUGAUACUGCAGACCUCGAGCGAGGUAGGGGCAUGUGGAACUUCCGGUGGAGCGGUGAAAUGCGUAGAUAUCGGAAGGAACGCCGGUGGCGAAAGCGACGUGCUGGACCUCUUCUGACGCUGAGGCGCGAAAGCUAGGGGAGCAAACGGG